Molecule: long non-coding RNA, 671 nt
Organism: Dermacentor andersoni
Lineage: Eukaryota; Metazoa; Arthropoda; Arachnida; Ixodida; Ixodidae
Source: RefSeq, a predicted model, not a curated record
UUUAGCGUAUAAAAGAGAAAAAAGAAGGCCUGGCGCGCAGUAGCAUGACCGCCAUUUGAGAGUUGGCAUAAUCCUUCUCUGGCGCGAGCCCUUUCGGUUCCUUUGCUCUCGACUGAAACUUCAUGGUGUCGCAAAAAUAGCGCGCUGGAAAACAUUCCGAGCAAAAGAACAUCGGUGCCGCAUCCAUCCUUUAUAAAUCAUUGGCGAUCGACGUUAAUCGGUAGCAAACCCGACGUCUGACGAGAUGCCACCCGCAAAGAACAGCAAGGUUCCCCCGUUCCUUUCCACCGGCCCCUCGUCUGUUGCCUCACCUCUGCUGGUGGCGCUUGCCGUGCUUUCGGUCCUGCUGCCUCUGACCCGAGGACAAUGCAUUAGCUAUUUGUGCUACCAGCAGUGCCAGUACAGCGGCCGUGGGCCCGGCACGUGCCUGCCCCGCUACUACGGCAACAUGCGAUACCUGGUGUGCACGUGUUACGACUCCAUCUACUAUAACUUGCCUGACCGACAUUUCAACUACCUGGACACGAAGGGCCAGCAGCAGCAACAGCAGCAGCGAAUAUUCUUCCCACGCUGAGGGGACACGAAAGACCGUCGAAGAUACAGCCACCGAGAUCCCGCUUCGGCCUGAAGGACAGAAUCAUUAUGAUAAUAAAACCAAAGACUCCAAUGGC